UGGGGAAUAUUGGACAAUGGGGGGAACCCUGAUCCAGCCAUGCCGCGUGUGUGAAGAAGGCCUUAUGGUUGUAAAGCACUUUAAGCGAGGAGGAGGGUACUGGUAUUAAUACUACCAGGUACUGGACGUUACUCGCAGAAUAAGCACCGGCUAACUCUGUGCCAGCAGCCGCGGUAAUACAGAGGGUGCGAGCGUUAAUCGGAUUUACUGGGCGUAAAGCGUGCGUAGGCGGCUAAUUGAGUCGGAUGUGAAAUCCCCGAGCUUAACUUGGGAAUUGCAUUCGAUACUGGUUAGCUAGAGUGUGGGAGAGGAUGGUAGAAUUCCAGGUGUAGCGGUGAAAUGCGUUGAGAUCUGGAGGAAUACCGAUGGCGAAGGCAGCCAUCUGGCCUAACACUGACGCUGAGGUACGAAAGCAUGGGGAGCAAACAGG
RNAcentral lists this ribosomal RNA (430 nucleotides) under Pseudomonadota bacterium. RNAcentral's name for it is "Proteobacteria bacterium partial 16S ribosomal RNA". It matches the Rfam family "Bacterial small subunit ribosomal RNA", at positions 355 to 776 of the family's 1533-position model. Lineage: Bacteria; Pseudomonadati; Pseudomonadota. The record is from RNAcentral.